AGCAGCCGCGGUAAUUCCAGCUCCAAUAGCGUAUAUUAAAGUUGCUGCAGUUAAAAAGCUCGUAGUUGAAUUUUCGGGACCAUCAUGUCGGUCGUGCCUCGGUACGUACUGGCAUUGUUGGUUUCUCCCUUCUGACGAACCAUGAUGUCAUUAAUUUGGUGUCAUGGGGAAUCAGGACUGUUACUUUGAAAAAUUAGAGUGUUUAAAGCAGGCUCACGCUUGAAUACAUUAGCAUGGAAUAAUGAAAUAGGACGUUUGAUUCUAUUUUGUUGGUUUCUAGGAUCGACGUAAUGAUUAAUAGGGAUAGUUGGGGGCAUUAGUAUUCAAUUGUCAGAGGUGAAAUUCUUGGAUUUAUUGAAGACUAACUACUGCGAAAGCAUUUGCCAAGGAUGUUUUCAUUAAUCAAGAACGAAAGUUAGGGGAUCGAAGACGAUCAGAUACCGUCGUAGUCUUAACCAUAAACUAAUGCCGACUAGGGAUCGGAUGAUGUAAUUUUUAAUGACUCAUUC
This 509-nucleotide ribosomal RNA is filed under the name uncultured Glomus. RNAcentral describes it as "SSU rRNA". It matches the Rfam family "Eukaryotic small subunit ribosomal RNA", at positions 569 to 1081 of the family's 1831-position model. Lineage: Eukaryota; Fungi; Glomeromycota; Glomeromycetes; Glomerales; Glomeraceae. The record is from RNAcentral.